This 2085-nucleotide long non-coding RNA is filed under the name Capsicum annuum. RNAcentral describes it as "long non-coding RNA (CANN_LNC005801)". The record is from RNAcentral. Lineage: Eukaryota; Viridiplantae; Streptophyta; Magnoliopsida; Solanales; Solanaceae.
ACAAUCGAGACAACGUCUAGUUCCUUCGUUCCUUUCGUCAAUUGCUGAAUUAUACUUUCCACAUCAUCCUGAAAACCAACUAUUUCCUCGUCAACUGAUAGAAAACUACCAUAGGUGGAAGCCGUUGCACGAGCAGGAGUACUUUUACCGGUCAGAACGUUCACCAUGUCAACUAGCUUUAUCUGCUGCUGUCAGGAGUAAAUAUAACUAUGUUACAACUGAUCGAUCAUCAACAACGACAACAACAACCAACAACAUAUGCAGUGUAUUCCCACAAAUAUAACUACGUUACAACUGAUUGAUCAUCAACAACGACAACAACAACAACAUACGCAGUGUAUUCCCACCUAGCAGGGUCUGGGGAGGGUAAAAUCUACGUAGUCCAUACCACCACCUCCGAAGAAGUAGAGAGGUUGUUUCCGACAGACCCCAGCUCAAGACAAAAAGACAGUAGAUAAAGUCGUAAACUGAUUCAUCGAUCGCUUCAGAAUUAUUUAAAUUGGCAAACAAGUCAAAGUUCAACAAAUAUAUUAGAUCUAGUGAUUUAAACACUAUGUUCAUAGUUUCCUAGAAAAGAUCUUUUCCUAAUAUUCAUAGUAUCUAAAAUUCAAUCUUGAUCUCUUCUGGUAAAUAUUUUGAGUUAAUGGUCAAAAACACACCUUUACUAUCACUUUUUCGCGAGUUUCACACCUCAACUAUCCAUUGUUCUCUUCACCUAUCUAAUCUAUCAACAACAACAACAUACCCAGUGUAUUCCCACCUACUGGGGUCUAGGGAGGGUAGAGUGUACGCAGACCACACCACUAACUCAGGUGAAGUAGAGAGGUUGUUUCUGAUAGACCCCCGACUUAGAACCUAUCUAAUCUAUCACUCUCUUGAUAUUAAAAAACACCUCAAAUUUUAAGAUCUCCUGUUCUUAAAGCCUCUUUUCUCAUACUACUUACUACGCGUGCGUGUCAGAUCUUUCAAAAAUAGUGCAUUUUUAAGGAUCCGACGCGGUUUGGCAUCAUUUCUUGAGAGGAGUCCACAGCAUAGCUACUUGAGAAAAUUUGGCUAAUUGGCCUUUUUGAGUUUCCAAUUAACAAAAUGACCUACUUUCAUUUUUUUCAUUAUAAAUAAAAUUAAAAACAAAGAAAACUUUAAGGAAGAAUUGAACGAUAAUAACAUAUUAAAAACUAUAACAGCUAUUUACAAAUAUACUUAAAACAUAAAACUCUAACUCAUUUUUUCAAUUUCAAAUUACUUUUUUCCCUUUCUCUAACUUUUUUCUCCUCCAUAAAACUCAUUCUUUCUUCAACUUUCUCCUUUUUGAAGCUAGUAUUUUAUUCCUAAACGUCCGUUUCCUCACAAAUUUGUUAAGUUUUCUAAUCUCCUUUAAUUUUAGUCCUUUUUUUUCAAAAAAAAGAAGGUUAGUGUAUAUAUAUAUAUAUAUGUAAUCGGUCGGAUCAAUAAUCGAUCUGUCCACAUGUCGGUCGGAUCAAUAAUCAGUCUGGCCAUAUAUCAUUCGGAUCAAUAAUCAAUUAGUCACAUAUAUUGGUCGGAUCAAUAAUCGAUCUGUCCAUAUAUCGGUCGCAUCGAUAAUCGAUCUGUUCAUAUAUCGGUCGGAUUGAUAAUAGAUCAGAUUUUGAACUAAUUUGUAAAAUGUGUAAAAGAUUUCAGUGGGAGUUCUGUUUACAUUCUGUAAGUUUGACUAAUUUGUAACUUUUAAAACUAGUAAAUAAAUUUUAAAUCACAAAUAAAUUUAAAUUUUCAAAAGUUAGUCAUUUUCCUAAAAAAAAUUUAGUGAAAAAAUAGACUUACUCCAAGCUAAUAUAGUGAGGUUUACAUAGCUAAAAAUAUGGAUAAAAUUUACCUUUCUAUAUGUGACAUUUUUGGAAAGUUAAAAAAAGUAUAAUCACAGGAUAAACUAUAUGAUAUCUAAAAUAAGACAUAGUAAUAUGAAAAAUGAUAUAUUUAUAGCUCAAAAAAAAAAAAAAAGAUUAAGAGGAAAUCUAACCUUUAAUUACAAGAAAGUAGUUGCAGAUGAUAGAUUAAAUGCUUGGUUGUUAUUAUAACUUAGUGGUUUUUGGAAUAUGAAAUGAGAGG